AUGAGCUGCUCUGCAUCCUUUAUUUCCCCUUCCUGUUCCACACAGAAAUGGGCUCCACUUAUCCAUCUCAAGUCUCUUCCCAGCAGCUCUGCCCUUUGAGAUCUCAAUCUCUGUCAUCAGGGUCACUCUGCCGUCCUCCUAGCAACCCUGACCUCGGUGUGUUUUGCAGUGGGACUUGCUGCUAUUCUUGCUCCGGGAGCUGGUGGAGAAGGGUCUGAUGGGACGGAUGGAGAUAGAGGCCUGCCUGGGCAGCCUCCACCAGGCCCUGUGGCCAGGGGACUUUGCUGAAGAAUUAGCAACACUGUCUAAUCUGUUUCUAGCCGAGCCCCACCUGCCAGAACCCCAGCUAAGAGCUUGUGAGUUGGUGCAGCCAAACCGGGGCACUGUGCUGGCCCAGAGCUAGGGCUGAGAAGUGGCCCUGCCUUGGGCAUCGCACCAGAACCCUGGACCCCCGCCUCACGAGGAGGCCCAAGUGCCCAAUGCAGACCCUCACUGGUUGGGGUGUAGCUGGGUCUACAGUCAGACUUCCUGCUCUAAGGGUGUUGCUGCCUGGCAUCCCACCACGCGAAUCCUAGAGGAAGGAGAGUUGGCCUGAUUCGGGAUUAUGGCAGAAAAGCCCAGAGAUGCCAGUCCUGGAGUAGAAGAGGUGGUGUUUGUUUAUCUCUUGGAUGCUAAAUGAAAUGAGGUGUGUGGGCUUGUCAACACAGAAUUCAAGCCUCAUUUGCUAUCCCAGCAUCUCUUAAAACUUUGUAGUCUUGGAAUUCAUGACAGAGGCAAAUGACUUCUGCUUAACUUAUGAAGAAAGUUAAAACAUGAAUCUUGGGAGUCUACAUUUUCUUAUCACCAGGAGCUGGACUGCCAUCUCCUUAUAAAUGCCUAACACAGGCCGGGUCUGGUGGCUCAUGCCUGUAAUCCCAGCACUUUGAGAGGCCCGAGGUCGGCGGACUGCCUGAGGUCAGGAAUUCAAGACCAGCCUGGCCAACAUGGCAAAACCCCGUCUCUACUAAAAAUAAAAUUAUUAGCUGGGCAUGGUGGUGUGUGCCUGUAAUCCCAGCUACUCAGGAGGAUGAGGCAGGAGACCUGCUUGAACCUGGAGGUGGAGGUUGCAGUGAGCCGAGGUCGCACGACUGCACUCCAGUCUGGGUAACAGAGCGAGACUUUCUAGAAAAAGCCUAACAAACAGAUAAGGUAGGACUCAACCAACUGAAACCUGACUUUCCCCCUGUACCUUCAGCCCCUGUGCAGGUAGUAACCUCUUGAGACCUCUCCCUGACCAGGGACCAAGC
RNAcentral lists this long non-coding RNA (1286 nucleotides) under Pan troglodytes (chimpanzee). Its description in RNAcentral is "long non-coding RNA NONPTRT005599". The record is from RNAcentral. Lineage: Eukaryota; Metazoa; Chordata; Mammalia; Primates; Hominidae.